This 305-nucleotide ribosomal RNA is filed under the name uncultured bacterium. RNAcentral's name for it is "bacterial SSU rRNA". It matches the Rfam family "Bacterial small subunit ribosomal RNA", at positions 334 to 656 of the family's 1533-position model. The record is from RNAcentral.
CUUUCCUACGGGAGGCAGCAGUGGGGAAUAUUGGGCAAUGGGCGCAAGCCUGAUGCAGCGACGCCGCGUGAGUGAAGAAGUAUUUCGGUAUGUAAAGCUCUAUCAGCAGGGAAGAAAAUGACGGUACCUGACUAAGAAGCCCCGGCUAACUACGUGCCAGCAGCCGCGGCAAUACGUAGGGGGCAAGCGUUAUCCGGAUUUACUGGGUGUAAAGGGAGCGUAGACGGCAGAGCAAGUCUGAAGUGAAAGCCCGCGGCCCAACUGCGGGACUGCUUUGGAAACUGCCCGGCUAGAGUGCUGGAGAG